This 253-nucleotide ribosomal RNA is filed under the name uncultured bacterium. RNAcentral describes it as "partial 16S ribosomal RNA". It matches the Rfam family "Bacterial small subunit ribosomal RNA", at positions 524 to 776 of the family's 1533-position model. The record is from RNAcentral.
UACGUAGGGUGCAAGCGUUGUCCGGAAUUAUUGGGCGUAAAGAGCUCGUAGGCGGUCUGUCGCGUCUGCUGUGAAAUCUCAGGGCUUAACCCUGAGCUUGCAGUGGGUACGGGCAGACUAGAGUGCGGUAGGGGAGACUGGAAUUCCCGGUGUAGCGGUGAAAUGCGUAGAUAUCUGAAGGAACACCAGUGGCGAAAGCGGCUUCCUGGUCCAGUACCGACGUUCAGGCACGAAAGCGUGGGGAGCAAACAGG